Long non-coding RNA from Enhydra lutris kenyoni (northern sea otter), 442 nucleotides. RefSeq lists it as uncharacterized. The transcript has 3 exons. The record is from RefSeq and is a predicted model, not a curated record. Lineage: Eukaryota; Metazoa; Chordata; Mammalia; Carnivora; Mustelidae.
UGUGACUUCCAGAUUCUUGCAAAGAAACGAGGCAUCAAGCCAGAAGCUCAUUAGUUAAUUUUACAGCAUCAUCGUCGGGAUUUUUGGUUUUUUUAAAGGACAAGACUGCGUGUUGUAUGUCUCAUUGUUUUAAGAGCUUUCUCUGACACUGAGGCUAAGCAUUGCCUGCCCUCAUGGGGAGUUUAAGUCAGAUGACUUUGAAACCAACAGAUAAAAGAAAACCCAGACAACAGAAUCUGUGUUGAACAAGGACACAGAUAACUACGGCAGGGAUACAAAAAUCUUCGAGGGUGACAACUGUCUGAAUUCCACUAAAGGUUCAGAUCUUUCUUCCUGCCUAGCAUUCAGUAUUUCCAAUAAUUUUGAACCAGCAGAGAUGCUAGUAACAUUUUCGUGGACGUCCUUGACUGAUUUUCAUUUGCCCCAGAAAUGUAACAUUCCA